UCCCCGUUCACCGGGGCAGUCCCCUCAGAGUGCCCGGCAUGACCCGGUAGCAACAAAGGGCAAGGGUUGCGCUCGUUGCGGGACUUAACCCAACAUCUCACGACACGAGCUGACGACAGCCAUGCAGCACCUGUGCAUCGGCCCCGAAGGGAAGACAGCUUUCACUGCCAGUCCAAUGCAUGUCAAACCCAGGUAGGGUUCUUCGCGUUGCGUCGAAUUAAACCACAUGCUCCACCGCUUGUGCAGGCCCCCGUCAAUUCCUUUGAGUUUCGGUCUUGCGACCGUACUCCCCAGGCGGAGUGUUUCACGCGUUAGCUGGGCUUGACAUGCGCCAGACAUCCCCAGAGAUGGGGCUUCCCUUGUGGUUGGUGCGCAGGUGGUGCAUGGC
RNAcentral lists this unclassified non-coding RNA (388 nucleotides) under uncultured bacterium. RNAcentral describes it as "contains 16S-23S intergenic spacer region". The record is from RNAcentral.